RNAcentral lists this ribosomal RNA (747 nucleotides) under Moina affinis. Its description in RNAcentral is "eukaryotic LSU rRNA". It matches the Rfam family "Eukaryotic large subunit ribosomal RNA", at positions 1324 to 1907 of the family's 3401-position model. Lineage: Eukaryota; Metazoa; Arthropoda; Branchiopoda; Diplostraca; Moinidae. The record is from RNAcentral.
GGCGCUAUAGCGUCGUGCCUAUACCGGACCGUCGGUCGGCAGAGCGAACGUUCCGAGCCGUCGAGGCAGAGAAGGAACGCCGAGGCCCCGACGAGUAGGGGGGUCGCGACGGUGAGCGUAGAAGGAUCUGGGCGCGAGCCUGUCCGGAGCCGCCGUCGGUGCAGAUCUUGGUGGUAGUAGCAAAUACUCCAGAGGGAUCCUGGAGGACUGACGUGGAGAAGGGUUUCAUGUGAACAGUGGUUGGACAUGAGUCAGUCGAUCCUAAGCCGCAGGGGAAACCCGGCCUAGUGACAGGCGUGACUUCAUAUAAACGCCCGGGCGAGCGAGCAAUCGCAAGCCCGGGCGCCAAAAAGUACGAAGCGCCUACUAGUCGAGGCGAAAGGGAAUCUGGUCCUGAUUCCAGAACCGAGCUGCGGCUACGUCCGUACGUGACGACUCGUCGUCUCUACGGUCGCGGUAACGCGACACAGACCGGAGAAGCUGCCGAAAACCCCGGGAAGAGUUUUCUUUUCUGCUUAAGGGACCGACACCCUGGAAUCCCGUCGCGGGGCGAGAGGGUUGCGGAUACGGCUGUCAAAGGCCAUCCCGAAGAGCGCCGCGUUUCCGCGGCGUCCGUGGUCGUUUUCGGCUGGCCCCUGAAAAUCCGGUUGGAGGGCUACGUCAUUGGAUGUUCGCGCUCGCUCGUACCGAUAUCCGCAUCAGGUCUCCAAGGUGAACAGCCUCUAGUCGAUAGAAGAAUGUAGGUAA